GGGCGAUUAGCUCAGUUGGGAGAGCGCCUGCCUUACAAGCAGGAUGUCGGGGGUUCAAGUCCCUCAUCGCUCA
Molecule: non-coding RNA, 73 nt
Organism: Spirochaetaceae bacterium 4572_59
Lineage: Bacteria; Pseudomonadati; Spirochaetota; Spirochaetia; Spirochaetales; Spirochaetaceae
Source: Rfam